CGCCGCAUCGAAGGUAUGGAGUACGUCUCUUCUCUACGUGCGAUGACGAGGUGGUGUCGUUUGCGAUUCAUCUCGCGACGUGAAACGUUCUGAUUAAUGGAUCCCUCUUUAAUCCCAUUGAUUUACACCUCUCUAUUGUUCUUUGAAAACGCUGAAUGGCUCUCUAUUGUGACCAUCUUUUUCUUGCAAGAACCAGAGAGAUCUAACCGGAAAACUUAUAGGCUAUUUGAUCUUGCCAUAGAAGAUGAAAGAGUUGUAAGUGGUUCAAGUGGAACAACAGCCUUCACAGCUUUUCUGAUUGGACAUCACUUAGUGGUUGUUAACGCAUGUGAUUGUCGUGCAAUUAUCUGCCGGAAAGAAGAAGCUGUUGAUAUGGAAAGGGAAGCUUCGGAUAAUAUUACAUUGGCGGUCAAAUGCUUCGUGCCGUCAGCACCUACUCCUCAGAGGAGAAGAAUACAGUUAUUUGUUUCAGAUGAAUCCCGAGCAUGGUUACGGUGAUCAGUUUUGUAUAUAUGUUUGGUUGAAGUUCCAUUUUUUAUUCUGGUGAAGAGAUUUUGGUAAAGUUUGAAUUUUAAUACAUGAAUGUGCUGUAGUAAAAGUAAUAUGUUUUUAGUUUACGAUUUAUUUGUAGUUGAGCACUAAUUACUGGUUUCUAUCUUUAAAAAAAAAACAGCUUCUCAGACUUAAGAUCAAGCAAAAAUUAGUCUGAAGCUCGGGGAGAGUAAAGUAUGUGGAUCUCCAUCCUACAGAACCAUGGAUUUGAGCAAGUUUAUGUUUUUGUGUAUUUGGAACUACCAGACACAGGUGGCAAAUAUUGGUGAUCAAACUGGGUUGAUCUCUGUCAAGAACAAACAAAAACGACAACACCUCCUCCCCCAUGUUAAGUCUGCAUGAUUCUUCUAUUACAUGACUGCAUUUCCUUACCUUUCUUUCAAGAUAUAAUCAAAUUACAUUACACGUAGCAAAAAAAAAAAAGAUUUUACAUUACACUCACAACUCUCUUUUACGAUGAGUGGUGCUUUGCCUUUUUAAUUAAAAUUUACACCCCUCUUCAAUUAUAUAUUUUUUUUUUAAUUAUACCUUCUUAAAUAGUAUAUGUAAAAAAUAUAUCAAAAAACAAACAUAUGCAAAUUGCUUUACAAACAUCUGUACAAAUACAAUAUUACUCAGCAAUACGCUGCAGCAAAAUUAUAUACAAGUCACAUAUAGCUCAGUACACAAUAUAAUAAUCAAACUACAUGAACAUAACAAAACAAAAAAUAAUCCAACAACAUAUUUAGCUACAAAAAAGCAUUACACACAUUUCUCAAGCCCAUAGAUGCGAGCUUAGCAAACGUAAUAGCCCAAUGUCUCUAACGGGCGUACAAAAUACAGCUAAUUACAAACAAAAUUUAGCAUCCAAUCUUACAUGGUCCAACCAAAAGGAGACGCUAACAAGUAACCUAUCUUUAGAGCAUGUAUUAAGAAGAGUUGAAAAUUCAAGCUACAUAUUACUUAAUAAGCAUUGACCCAAACUAUGGAUGCUAAAUAUUUACACUCUCCUCAAUACAAUUAUACAAACCCUACAUGGUCCUUCUAACCGCAAAGGCAACCAAAGUUAUCUCAUAUUUCGAAUAAUUGAAUAUUCCUUUAAAUUUAUAGUAAGCAAUAAUGCUGACUUUCAUUUUAUUAUUGAACAUACCCCAAAAUACGUUCCAAAAAAAAUAUCAAAAAAUAUGAGGUUCACAAUUUGUUUGUAAUAUCUCAUAAAAUAAAACAAUAAAAUUAAUAGGAAACUAAACAUUAUCCUAACAAACAAUGAUUAUACAAUUAUGUCCAAACAAAAAUAUUACGUAGUUUAAUUUCGCGUGUCGCACGGACCAACCCAAUGUCUUCCAUUGUUUUAUAUAUAUACGUACGUAAAAAUAUAGAUUAUGCAAUUACAUCAAAACAAAUAUAGGACGAAGUGGAACAAAAUAUUUUGAAAAGACAUCCGUGAAAGUUAAGAAUUCAACGGUUUUAAAACUAAAAUAGAAUUAUGAUUGGUUGUACAUUUAAAAAAGUUUUGCAUCAAAAUUUAUAUAAGUGAGAUAAAUGAGUAUGUAGAUCAUGGGUCUAAAUAAUUCGGUUGUAAGUGCAGAAAUUUUGUUGUAACAAUUUAGUUUGUAG
Long non-coding RNA from Brassica napus (rape), 2148 nucleotides. RefSeq lists it as uncharacterized. NCBI's taxonomy places the organism in Eukaryota, Viridiplantae, Streptophyta, Magnoliopsida, Brassicales, Brassicaceae. The transcript is spliced from 3 exons. The record is from RefSeq and is a predicted model, not a curated record.